Molecule: ribosomal RNA, 643 nt
Filed under: Marinilactibacillus sp. 184_(MB)_89.1mbsf
Lineage: Bacteria; Bacillati; Bacillota; Bacilli; Lactobacillales; Carnobacteriaceae
Description: bacterial SSU rRNA
Rfam family: Bacterial small subunit ribosomal RNA
Source: RNAcentral
UCGGAAACGGAUGCUAAUACCGCAUAGGUCUUUGAGACGCCUGUCUCUUAGAUGAAAGGUGGCUUCGGCUGCCGCUUAUGGAUGGACCCGCGGCGUAUUAGCUAGUUGGUGAGGUAAUGGCUCACCAAGGCUGUGAUACGUAGCCGACCUGAGAGGGUGAUCGGCCACACUGGGACUGAGACACGGCCCAGACUCCUACGGGAGGCAGCAGUAGGGAAUCUUCCACAAUGGGUGAAAACCUGAUGGAGCAAUACCGCGUGAGUGAAGAAGGUCUUCGGAUCGUAAAGCUCUGUUGUUAGAGAAGAACAAGUCGGGUAGUAACUGCCCCGGCCUUGACGGUAUCUAACCAGAAAGUCACGGCUAACUACGUGCCAGCAGCCGCGGUAAUACGUAGGUGACAAGCGUUGUCCGGAUUUAUUGGGCGUAAAGCGAGCGCAGGCGGUCUUUUAAGUCUGAUGUGAAAGCCCACGGCUCAACCGUGGAGGGUCAUUGGAAACUGGAAGACUUGAAUGCAGAAGAGGAAAGUGGAAUUCCAUGUGUAGCGGUGAAAUGCGUAGAUAUAUGGAGGAACACCAGUGGCGAAGGCGACUUUCUGGUCUGUAAUUGACGCUGAGGCUCGAAAGCGUGGGGAGCGAACAGGAUU